Molecule: ribosomal RNA, 389 nt
Filed under: uncultured bacterium
Lineage: Bacteria
Description: bacterial SSU rRNA
Rfam family: Bacterial small subunit ribosomal RNA
Source: RNAcentral
GACGAACGCUGGCGGCGUGCUUAACACAUGCAGGUCGAGCGGUAAGGCCCUUUCGGGGGUACGACGAGCGGCGAACGGGUGAGUAACACGUGGGUGACCUGCCCUCAGCUCUGGGAUAAGCCUGGGAAACCGGGUCUAAUACCGGAUAUGACUCCAUGACGCAUGUUGUGGGGUGGAAAGCCUUGUGCGGCUGAGGAUGGGCCCGCGGCCUAUCAGCUUGUUGGUGGGGUGAUGGCCUACCAAGGCGACGACGGGUAGCCGGCCUGAGAGGGCGACCGGCCACACUGGGACUGAGACACGGCCCAGACUCCUACGGGAGGCAGCAGUGGGGAAUCUUGCGCAAUGGGCGAAAGCCUGACGCAGCGACGCCGCGUGAGGGAUGACGGCCU